GGAAUUCCUGGCAGGGAAGACACCAUGAUCAGGCAGGUGGUUUUCCCAGGGCAAGGCUCAUCCCCUGCACUCUGGCUGUGCAGACCCCUGCGAUUUCCCCAAAUGCGGGAAACUCGACUGCAUAAUUUGUGGUUCUGUGAUUCCCGUAGGAACAUU
Molecule: small nuclear RNA, 156 nt
Filed under: Cairina moschata (Muscovy duck)
Lineage: Eukaryota; Metazoa; Chordata; Aves; Anseriformes; Anatidae
Description: domestica (muscovy Duck (domestic type)) U1 spliceosomal RNA (ENSCMMG00000001177.1)
Rfam family: U1 spliceosomal RNA
About the family: U1 is a small nuclear RNA (snRNA) component of the spliceosome (involved in pre-mRNA splicing).
Source: RNAcentral